This is a long non-coding RNA of Choloepus didactylus (southern two-toed sloth), 151 nucleotides long. RefSeq lists it as uncharacterized. The record is from RefSeq and is a predicted model, not a curated record. Lineage: Eukaryota; Metazoa; Chordata; Mammalia; Pilosa; Megalonychidae. The transcript has 3 exons.
AAUCCAAGUGUUCAUCAACAGAUGCAUGGAUAAACGAAAUGUGGCUUUCUCAGUAUCAUUUGGUAUUUCCCUUUGAAACAAGCUUUGUUUAAUAGGAAAUAUUAAGAUUUCAAGUAAAAUGCUGUCUGAAUAAAUCACAACUGAAAUAGAC